GUCGAAAGAAUUGUGGAAUAAACUACAGC
This 29-nucleotide small RNA is filed under the name Bombyx mori (domestic silkworm). RNAcentral's name for it is "ovarian small RNA-17769". The record is from RNAcentral. Lineage: Eukaryota; Metazoa; Arthropoda; Insecta; Lepidoptera; Bombycidae.